This 437-nucleotide ribosomal RNA is filed under the name uncultured bacterium. Its description in RNAcentral is "partial 16S ribosomal RNA". It matches the Rfam family "Bacterial small subunit ribosomal RNA", at positions 28 to 507 of the family's 1533-position model. The record is from RNAcentral.
GAUGAACGCUGGCGGUAUGCUUAACACAUGCAAGUCGAACGGACUCUUCGGAGUUAGUGGCGGACGGGUGAGUAACGCGUGAGAAUCUGGCUUUGGGUUCGGGACAACCACUGGAAACGGUGGCUAAUACCGGAUGUGCCGAGAGGUAAAAGAGAAAUUGCCUGAAGAUGAGCUCGCGUCUGAUUAGCUAGUUGGUGAGGUAAAGGCUUACCAAGGCAGCGAUCAGUAGCUGGUAUGAGAGGGUGACCAGCCACAUUGGGACUGAGACACGGCCCAGACGCCUACGGGAGGGAGCGGUGGGGAAUAUUGCCCAAUGGGCGGGAGCGUGAUGCAGCACCGCCGCGUGCGGGAUGACGGCGGUCGGGUGAUAAACCGCUUUCGCCUGUGACAAAGCGUGAGUGACGGUAACUGGUAAAGAAGCACCGGCUAACUACGUG